GGCGGAGUCACUCUGCCCUCCUCGCUCCGAAGUGCGCCUUCUGCCAAUCCCGGGGCCGCGUAGGGGUGAUGGACGCAAGCGUAUGACCAAUGAGGAGGAGAAGCUGCCGCAGGGAGCCAGAGGGGAAGGAGUGGGCGGGCCAACGCCCUCCCCUCCCUCAGGCGCCCAGGUCCUCCCUCCUGCCCAUUUCGGCACUACUCCAUGAUUUCAGCCUGUAUCCUAAGCCCACCUAAGAAAAUGAACCCGGCUGCAGACUUCUCUUAGUGUCCAGAUGUGUACCCAUUGCCCCUCAGCGUUUUGAAACUUCUUUGGAGUUUGGCAGUGCAAGGAGGCCAGCAUCCUCAUCCCAGGACAUAGUCGUCUGCAGGAGGUCUCUACUGAUCUCAUCUGGUCUGGUCAAGACUUGGCUGGACUCAGCCGAAUUCAGCUGGGCUUUGCUCCAGGACACAGGUUAAGUUCAGGUGAGGAUUUGGUGGUGGUUUGCACAGUGAAUUCUGGAGGGAAGAGUCUGUCAACAGAGAGCCUGGUCAGAAGAUAAAUGCAAGAAUCCCAGAGGGGAUCUGGGCUGAAGGCCUGCAAAGAGGAGAGAAGGGAAGGGACUGGAUGAGGCUCAAAAAUAGAAUGUGGAGCAAAAAAAGCAAGUCAUCAAAGAUUCCAUCUAUUUCUAGUUCAAAAGGCAAAUACAACUAAAUACUGUGUUAUUCAGGAACACAUACAUAACCAUUACAACUAUAAAGCAAAACAAAAUUCAGAAAGGUAGUUCCCGAGAGAAGCCAGUGAGGCAGAUGUGUUCAGAAAUGGGCACACAGGGGCUUCUUAAGGGGCUGGUAAUUGUCCAUUUCUUAGGCUGGGUGGUAGACACGUGAGCGGCCAAUUAUUUUUUGAACAGUACCCUUUCAUCUUAUACAGGCACACCUCAGAGACAUUGCUGGUUUGGUUCCAGACCACCACAGUAAAGCAAAUAUUGCAAUAAAGCAAGUCACGAAUUUUUUGGUUUCUCAGUGCGUGUAAAAGUUAUGUUUACACUCCACUGUAGUCUAUUAAGUGUGCAAUAACAUAAUGUCUAAAAAACAACGUACAUACCUUAAUUUAAAAAUACUUUAUUAGGCAGUUUGGGAUUGACAUGUACACACUGCUAUAUUUAAAAUGGAUAACCAACAAGGACCUACUGUAUAGCACAGGGAACUCUGCUCAAUAUUAUGUGACAGACUAAGUGCGAAAAUAAUUUGAAAAAGAAUAGAUACAUGUAU
Balaenoptera ricei (Rice's whale) is the source of this 1250-nucleotide long non-coding RNA. RefSeq lists it as uncharacterized. NCBI's taxonomy places the organism in Eukaryota, Metazoa, Chordata, Mammalia, Artiodactyla, Balaenopteridae. The transcript is spliced from 4 exons. The record is from RefSeq and is a predicted model, not a curated record.